GAUGAACGCUGGCGGCGUGCCUAAUACAUGCAAGUCGAGCGAACGGACGAGAAGCUUGCUUCUCUGAUGUUAGCGGCGGACGGGUGAGUAACACGUGGAUAACCUACCUAUAAGACUGGGAUAACUUCGGGAAACCGUAGCUAAUACCGGAUAAUAUUUUGAACCGCAUGGUUCAAAAGUGAAAGACGGUCUUGCUGUCACUUAUAGAUGGAUCCGCGCUGCAUUAGCUAGUUGGUAAGGUAACGGCUUACCAAGGCAACGAUGCAUAGCCGACCUGAGAGGGUGAUCGGCCACACUGGAACUGAGAAACGGUCCAGACUCCUACGGGAGGCAGCAGUAGGGAAUCUUCCGCAAUGGGCGAAAGCCUGACGGAGCAACGCCGCGUGAGUGAUGAAGGUCUUCGGAUCGUAAAACUCUGUUAUUAGGGAAGAACAUAUGUGUAAGUAACUGUGCACAUCUUGACGGUACCUAAUCAGAAAGCCACGGCUAACUACGUG
RNAcentral lists this ribosomal RNA (497 nucleotides) under uncultured bacterium. RNAcentral describes it as "partial 16S ribosomal RNA". It matches the Rfam family "Bacterial small subunit ribosomal RNA", at positions 28 to 507 of the family's 1533-position model. The record is from RNAcentral.